GUUUACUUCUCGCUUCGGUAGCACAUAUACUAAAAUUGGAACAAUACAGAGAAGAUUAGCAAGGCCCCUGGGCAAGGAUAACAUGCAAAUUCAUGAAGUAUUCCAUAUUUUU
This is a small nuclear RNA of Moschus moschiferus (Siberian musk deer), 112 nucleotides long. The record is from Ensembl. Lineage: Eukaryota; Metazoa; Chordata; Mammalia; Artiodactyla; Moschidae.